Molecule: ribosomal RNA, 471 nt
Filed under: uncultured bacterium
Lineage: Bacteria
Description: bacterial SSU rRNA
Rfam family: Bacterial small subunit ribosomal RNA
Source: RNAcentral
GCUCAGAUUGAACGCUGGCGGCAGGCCUAACACAUGCAAGUCGAACGGUAACAGGAAGAAGCUUGCUUCUUUGCUGACGAGUGGCGGACGGGUGAGUAAUGUCUGGGAAACUGCCUGAUGGAGGGGGAUAACUACUGGAAACGGUAGCUAAUACCGCAUAACGUCGCAAGACCAAAGAGGGGGACCUUCGGGCCUCUUGCCAUCGGAUGUGCCCAGAUGGGAUUAGCUAGUAGGUGGGGUAACGGCUCACCUAGGCGACGAUCCCUAGCUGGUCUGAGAGGAUGACCAGCCACACUGGAACUGAGACACGGUCCAGACUCCUACGGGAGGCAGCAGUGGGGAAUAUUGCACAAUGGGCGCAAGCCUGAUGCAGCCAUGCCGCGUGUAUGAAGAAGGCCUUCGGGUUGUAAAGUACUUUCAGCGGGGAGGAAGGGAGUAAAGUUAAUACCUUUGCUCAUUGACGUUACCCGC